GGAGGCAUAGCUCAGCCGGGAGAGCGUUCGCCUCACACGCGAAAGGUCACAGGUUCGAGCCCUGUUGUCUCCACCA
Molecule: transfer RNA, 76 nt
Filed under: Terriglobales bacterium
Lineage: Bacteria; Pseudomonadati; Acidobacteriota; Terriglobia; Terriglobales
Also listed under: 3 other names
Description: tRNA-Val
Rfam family: tRNA
About the family: Transfer RNA (tRNA) molecules are approximately 80 nucleotides in length.
Source: RNAcentral